CUAGGUUGGGUUCCUAAGGUCUUCUACAUGUAGUUUGGCUCUAAAGUCGAGGUACUUGAACCAGUAGAUUCCUCGAUCCUCACCCAUUAGAGGCUCAUACAGACCGAGUUCGGUUCAGGGGAAUACAUUUCCCUAUGGCUGCACGAAGAUGAAAAUCUCAUAAAGACAUAGGUACGGAUGUAUCCCGAAAGUGAUCCAUU
RNAcentral lists this long non-coding RNA (200 nucleotides) under Gossypium barbadense (sea-island cotton). Its description in RNAcentral is "long non-coding RNA (GBAR_LNC018456)". Lineage: Eukaryota; Viridiplantae; Streptophyta; Magnoliopsida; Malvales; Malvaceae. The record is from RNAcentral.